This 1409-nucleotide ribosomal RNA is filed under the name uncultured Cyanobium sp. RNAcentral describes it as "bacterial SSU rRNA". It matches the Rfam family "Bacterial small subunit ribosomal RNA". Lineage: Bacteria; Bacillati; Cyanobacteriota; Cyanophyceae; Synechococcales; Prochlorococcaceae. The record is from RNAcentral.
CAGUCGAACGAACCUUCGGGUUAGUGGCGGACGGGUGAGUAACGCGUGAGAAUCUGCCCUCAGGAGGGGGAUAACGGCUGGAAACGGCCGCUAAUACCCCAUAUGCCGAGAGGUGAAAUGAAUUUCGCCUGAGGAUGAGCUCGCGUCUGAUUAGCUAGUUGGUAGGGUAAAGGCCUACCAAGGCGACGAUCAGUAGCUGGUCUGAGAGGAUGAUCAGCCACACUGGGACUGAGACACGGCCCAGACUCYUACGGGAGGCAGCAGUGGGGAAUUUUCCGCAAUGGGCGAAAGCCUGACGGAGCAACGCCGCGUGAGGGAUGAAGGCCUCUGGGCUGUAAACCUCUUUUAUCAAGGAAGAAGAUCUGACGGUACUUGAUGAAUAAGCCACGGCUAAUUCCGUGCCAGCAGCCGCGGUAAUACGGGAGUGGCAAGCGUUAUCCGGAAUUAUUGGGCGUAAAGCGUCCGCAGGCGGUCUUACAAGUCUGUCGUUAAAGCGUGGAGCUUAACUCCAUUUCAGCGAUGGAAACUGUAAGACUAGAGUGUGGUAGGGGCAGAGGGAAUUCCCGGUGUAGCGGUGAAAUGCGUAGAUAUCGGGAAGAACACCAGUGGCGAAGGCGCUCUGCUGGGCCAUAACUGACGCUCAUGGACGAAAGCCAGGGGAGCGAAAGGGAUUAGAUACCCCUGUAGUCCUGGCCGUAAACGAUGAACACUAGGUGUCGGGGGAAUCGACCCCCUCGGUGUCGUAGCCAACGCGUUAAGUGUUCCGCCUGGGGAGUACGCACGCAAGUGUGAAACUCAAAGGAAUUGACGGGGGCCCGCACAAGCGGUGGAGUAUGUGGUUUAAUUCGAUGCAACGCGAAGAACCUUACCAGGGUUUGACAUCCUGCGAAUCCCUUGGAAACGAGGGAGUGCCUUCGGGAACGCAGUGACAGGUGGUGCAUGGCUGUCGUCAGCUCGUGUCGUGAGAUGUUGGGUUAAGUCCCGCAACGAGCGCAACCCACGUCUUUAGUUGCCAGCAUUUAGUUGGGCACUCUAGAGAGACUGCCGGUGAUAAACCGGAGGAAGGUGUGGAUGACGUCAAGUCAUCAUGCCCCUUACAUCCUGGGCUACACACGUACUACAAUGCUACGGACAAAGGGCAGCAAACUCGCGAGAGCUAGCCAAUCCCAUAAACCGUGGCUCAGUUCAGAUCGUAGGCUGCAACUCGCCUACGUGAAGGAGGAAUCGCUAGUAAUCGCAGGUCAGCAUACUGCGGUGAAUACGUUCCCGGGCCUUGUACACACCGCCCGUCACACCAUGGAAGUUGGCCAUGCCCGAAGUCGUUACUCCAACCCUUGUGGAGGAGGACGCCGAAGGUGGGGCUGAUGACUGGGGUGAAGUCGUAACAAGGUAGCCGUACCGGAAGGUGC